RNAcentral lists this long non-coding RNA (522 nucleotides) under Homo sapiens (human). Its description in RNAcentral is "HSALNT0068835". Lineage: Eukaryota; Metazoa; Chordata; Mammalia; Primates; Hominidae. The record is from RNAcentral.
GGUAUGGAGCCUGGCACCGUGCUGCCGGGUACACGCGGGGCCUCAUCUCAUCCUGCACUCAUGGCAGAGCAGGCCUUUCCUCCUUGAACAUGUAGACAAGUCUCAGAGAGGUCAGUGCGCCGGCCCGAUGUCUCCCAGUGAGUGGAGAGGCCACGCCACAGUCCGGGCCAGGUCUGACCCAGCACUGGCACCCCUGAGCCUAUGGCAUCAUCCGAGGACUGUAAUCCUCAACCCGUUCCUCAGAGCAACUUGGUGAAAGGGAGUGUCUGUCUGCUGUCAGAAGCAGUGGUGGAGAUGGCGGCUCCUGUGCUGAGGUAGAGUCCCAGGGGAUGCGCACGGGCUGCCGCUCACUUCCCGCAGGGCUCACCUUCCCCGGCCUUGCCUGAAGACACAUCCCAUACCUCAGUCACUCCCACUGGAGGCAGACUCACUGUGACCAGCAGGAACUCUAGGCUGUGUUCCGGUUGUAUCCCUGACCCUGGAUUGGCACCUCCCGUGGCGUGGGAGCUAAAGAGAGGCUGG